AAAUAUCUUCUUCAUUAAAUGGCAAAAGACUCUUAUGCCCUUGUUUUUUAUAUAUCUAAACCUUAAACCAUCAACACUAAACCCUAAACUAUCAACACUAAACACUAAACCCUAAAAAAUUAACCCUAAACCUUAAAACAUCAACUCUGAACCCUAUAUCUUAAACCUUCAACUCUAAACCCUAAACUCUAAACCCUAAACCCUAAAACCCUAGAGUUGAUGUUUUAGGGUUUAGAUUUGAAGGUUUAGGAUUUUAGGGAUUAGGGUUUACGUUUAGGGUUUAGAGUUGAUGUUUGAGGCUUUAGAUUUGAAAGUUUAGGGUUUUAGGGUUUACGUUUAGGGUUUAGAGUUGAUGUUUUAGGGUUUAGAUUUGAAGGUUUAGGGUUUAGGGUUUAGAGUUGAUGUUUCAGGGUUUAGGUUUUAGAGUUGAUGUUUCCCGGUUUAGGGUUUAGAGUUGAUGUUUUAGGGUUUAAAGUUGAUGUUUUAAGUUUAGAUUUAGGGCUUAGAGUUUACGUUUAGAGUUUAGAGUUGAUGUUUUAGGGUUUAGAUUUGAAGGUUUAGGGUUUAGGGUUUAGGGUUUAGAGUUGAUGUUUUGGGGUUUAGGGUUUAGAGUUGAUGUUUCAUGGUUUAGAAUUGAUGAUUUAGGGUUUAGAGAUGUUUUAAGUUUAGAUUAGUUAACUAUAUGUUUUUUUUUGUCAAAGUUGAUCAAAAAGUUAUAAAUGUCUUUAAAUCUUCAUUAAAGAUGAGGGUAAAAAUGGUUACUGUAAACAUGAAAUGUUGUAC
Molecule: long non-coding RNA, 783 nt
Filed under: Brassica napus (rape)
Lineage: Eukaryota; Viridiplantae; Streptophyta; Magnoliopsida; Brassicales; Brassicaceae
Description: long non-coding RNA (BNAP_LNC019576)
Source: RNAcentral